Molecule: ribosomal RNA, 462 nt
Filed under: uncultured bacterium
Lineage: Bacteria
Description: partial 16S ribosomal RNA
Rfam family: Bacterial small subunit ribosomal RNA
Source: RNAcentral
AGUGAACGCUGGCGGCGUGCCUAAUACAUGCAAGUCGAACGGAGAUUUAGUAGCUUGCUCUUUAAUCUUAUUGGCGCACGGGUGAGUAAUAUAUAGCUAACUUGCCCAUUACUAAGGGACAACAGUUGGAAACGACUGCUAAUACCUUAUACUCCGUAUCUAUAUAAGUAGAUACGUGAAAGUUUUUCGGUAAUGGAUAGGGCUAUAUCGUAUCAGCUAGUUGGUAAGGUAAUGGCUUACCAAGGCUAUGACGCGUAACUGGUCUGAGAGGAUGAUCAGUCAAACUGGAACUGAGACACGGUCCAGACUCCUACGGGAGGCAGCAGUAGGGAAUAGUGCUCAAGGGGGGAAAGCCUGAAGCAGCAACGCCGCGUGAAGGAUGACACUUUUCGGAGCGUAAACUCCUUUUCUUGGGAAAGAAUUAUGACGGUACCCAAGGAAUAAGCACCGGCUAACUCCGUG